AAAUUUACAUAGUACAACAGGUACAUUUAUGUAUA
RNAcentral lists this transfer RNA (35 nucleotides) under Mus musculus domesticus (western European house mouse). RNAcentral describes it as "partial tRNA-Pro". Lineage: Eukaryota; Metazoa; Chordata; Mammalia; Rodentia; Muridae. The record is from RNAcentral.